Molecule: non-coding RNA, 86 nt
Organism: Staphylotrichum longicolle
Lineage: Eukaryota; Fungi; Ascomycota; Sordariomycetes; Sordariales; Chaetomiaceae
Source: the annotation of a GenBank genome assembly
GCCCGGCUAGCUCAAUCGGUAGAGCGUGAGACUCUUAAGAAUCUCCGAACAUCUCAAGGUUGUGGGUUCGACCCCCACGUCGGGCU